UUCCGUAGGGUGAACCUGCGGAGGGAUCAUUACCGGAGGUUUACAACUCCCAAACCCAAUGUGAACGUUACCAAACUGUUGCCUCGGCGGGAUCUCUGCCCCGGGUGCGUCGCAGCCCCGGACCAAGGCGCCCGCCGGAGGACCAACCAAAACUCUUAUUGUAUACCCCCUCGCGGGUUUUUUUAUAAUCUGAGCCUUCUCGGCGCCUCUCGUAGGCGUUUCGAAAAUGAAUCAAAACUUUCAACAACGGAUCUCUUGGUUCUGGCAUCGAUGAAGAACGCAGCGAAAUGCGAUAAGUAAUGUGAAUUGCAGAAUUCAGUGAAUCAUCGAAUCUUUGAACGCACAUUGCGCCCGCCAGUAUUCUGGCGGGCAUGCCUGUCCGAGCGUCAUUUCAACCCUCGAACCCCUCCGGGGGGUCGGCGUUGGGGAUCGGCCCUCCCUUAGCGGGUGGCCGUCUCCGAAAUACAGUGGCGGUCUCGCCGCAGCCUCUCCUGCGCAGUAGUUUGCACACUCGCAUCGGGAGCGCGGCGCGUCCACAGCCGUUAAACACCCAACUUCUGAAAUGUUGACCUCGGAUCAGGUAGGAAUACCCGCUGAACUUAAGCAUAUCAAUAGGCCGGAGGAAA
This 626-nucleotide ribosomal RNA is filed under the name Trichoderma harzianum. RNAcentral's name for it is "eukaryotic LSU rRNA". The stretch from base 236 to 389 matches the Rfam family "5.8S ribosomal RNA". The record is from RNAcentral. Lineage: Eukaryota; Fungi; Ascomycota; Sordariomycetes; Hypocreales; Hypocreaceae.